RNAcentral lists this ribosomal RNA (109 nucleotides) under marine eukaryotic metagenome. The record is from RNAcentral.
GACGACCACAGCGAGGGGGCACCACCUGAUCCCAUGCCGAACUCAGCAGUGAAACCCUUCAGCGCCGAUGGUAGUGCGGCCUCUGGCCGUGCGAGAGUAGGUCAUCGUC